CCCGGAGUAGACAACAGGGAUGCCUCAGUAACGGCGAGUGAAGCGGCAACAGCUCAAAUUUGAAAUCUGGCCCCCCGGCCCGAGUUGUAAUUUGCAGAGGAUGCUUCGGGCGCGGUGCCUUCCAAGUCCCCUGGAACGGGGCGCCGGAGAGGGUGAGAGCCCCGUACGGUUGGCGGCCAAGCCUGUGUGAAGCUCCUUCGACGAGUCGAGUAGUUUGGGAAUGCUGCUCUAAGCGGGAGGUAGACCCCUUCUAAAGCUAAAUAUAGGCCAGAGACCGAUAGCGCACAAGUAGAGUGAUCGAAAGAUGAAAAGCACUUUGAAAAGAGGGUUAAACAGCACGUGAAAUUGUUGAAAGGGAAGCGCUUGCGACCAGACGUGCGCCGGGGUGCUCAGCGGGCGUUCUCGCCCGUGCACUCGCCCCGGUGCAGGCCAGCGUCGGUUCGCGUGGGAGGAUAAAGGCGCCUGGAAUGUGGCUCCCCCGGGAGUGUUAUAGCCAGGCGUGCCAUGCUCCCCUGCGGACCGAGGUACGCGUUCUGCAAGGACGCUGGCGUAAUGGUCCCCAGCGACCCGUCUUGAAACACGGACCAAGGAGUCGAGGUUUUGCGCGAGUGUUUGGGUGUUAAACCCGCACGCGUAAUGAAAGUGAACGUAGGUGGGAGCUUCGGCGCACCACCGACCGAUCCUGAUGUUCUCGGAUGGAUUUGAGUAAGAGCGUAGGGCCUCGGACCCGAAAGAUGGUGAACUAUGCUUGGAUAGGGUGAAGCCAGAGGAAACUCUGGUGGAGGCUCGCAGCGGUUCUGACGUGCAAAUCGAUCGUCAAAUCUGAGCAUGGGGGCGAAAGACUAAUCGACCCUCUUGGGGG
This 862-nucleotide ribosomal RNA is filed under the name Pseudophialocephala terricola. RNAcentral's name for it is "eukaryotic LSU rRNA". It matches the Rfam family "Eukaryotic large subunit ribosomal RNA", at positions 52 to 950 of the family's 3401-position model. The record is from RNAcentral. Lineage: Eukaryota; Fungi; Ascomycota; Sordariomycetes; Chaetosphaeriales; Chaetosphaeriaceae.